AGUGAACGCUGGCGGUAGGCCUAACACAUGCAAGUCGAACGGCAGCACAGUAAGAGCUUGCUCUUACGGGUGGCGAGUGGCGGACGGGUGAGGAAUACAUCGGACUCUACUUUUUCGUGGGGGUUAACGUAGGGAAACUUACGCUAAUACCGCAUACGACCUACGGGUGAAAGCAGGGGAACUUCGGACCUUGCGCGAAUGAAUGAGCCGAUGUCGGACUAGCUAGUUGGCGGGGUAAAGGCCCACCAAGGCGACGAUCCGUAGCUGGUCUGAGAGGAUGAUCAGCCACACUGGAACUGAGACACGGUCCAGACUCCUACGGGAGGCAGCAGUGGGGAAUAUUGGACAAUAGGCGCAAGCCUGAUCCAGCCAUACCGCGUGGGUGAAGAAGGCCUUCGGGUUGUAAAGCCCUUUUGUUGGUAAAGAAAAGCAGCAGGUUAAUACCCCGCUGUUCUGACGGUACCCAAUGAAUAAGCACCGGCUAACUUCGUG
This 492-nucleotide ribosomal RNA is filed under the name uncultured bacterium. Its description in RNAcentral is "partial 16S ribosomal RNA". It matches the Rfam family "Bacterial small subunit ribosomal RNA", at positions 29 to 507 of the family's 1533-position model. The record is from RNAcentral.